AGUAGCUAGUUAGCUGGCUAGCUUCUGACGGUUCUAAAGUAAAGUAUAGAAAAAGCAGAUCCGUACCACAUUGGGUGAUGCGGGUUGCAGGAGAGUAUAUUCAGCUCUAGUUUGAAAGUGAGAUUAAAAUAUGUACGAAAUAUAUACAGAAAAAAAACGAAGAAAACUAUAUUUACACUAGACAGGACGGGACAAGACAAAACACACGUCCGAUUGCUACGCCAUCUUGGAAGACUUACGGGACAAGAGACAUGAACUGAGGUCCUUUCUGCAUGAAAGAGUGAAGGGUGCCUUGAUUAGGUCUCGUUUCGCUUCCCUCAAGGAUAUGGAUGCUCCUAGCACCUUUUUUUUAAACCUUGGACAGUCGACAUUGAAACAGAUGGUCUACCUUCGUCUCUCUGAUGGGAAGGUGACCACGGAUGACAUUUCAACGUAAACAGAUGGUCUACCUUCGUCUCUCUGAUGGGAAGGUGACCACGGAUGACAUUGCAACGUAAACAGAUGGUCUACCUUCGUCUCUCUGAUGGGAAGGUGACCACGGAUGACAUUGCAACGUAAACAGAUGGUCUACCUUCGUCUCUCUGAUGGGAAGGUGACCACGGAUGACAUUUCAACGUAAACAGAUGGUCUACCUUCGUCUCUCUGAUGGGAAGGUGACCACGGAUGACAUUUCAACGUAAACAGAUGGUCUGCCUUCGUCUCUCUGAUGGGAAGGUGACCACGGAUGACAUUUCAACGUAAACAGAUGGUCUGCCUUCGUCUCUCUGAUGGGAAGGUGACCACGGAUGACAUUUCAACGUAAACAGAUGGUCUACCUUCGUCUCUCUGAUGGGAAGGUGACCACGGAUGACAUUUCAACGUAAACAGAUGGUCUGCCUUCGUCUCUCUGAUGGGAAGGUGACCACGGAUGACAUUUCAACGUAAACAGAUGGUCUACCUUCGUCUCUCUGAUGGGAAGGUGACCACGGAUGACAUUUCAACGUAAACAGAUGGUCUACCUUCGUCUCUCUGAUGGGAAGGUGACCACGGAUGACAUUUCAACGUAAACAGAUGGUCUACCUUCGUCUCUCUGAUGGGAAGGUGACCACGGAUGACAUUUCAACGUAAACAGAUGGUCUACCUUCGUCUCUCUGAUGGGAAGGUGACCACGGAUGACAUUUCAACGUAAACAGAUGGUCUGCCUUCGUCUCUCUGAUGGGAAGGUGACCACGGAUGACAUUUCAACGUAAACAGAUGGUCUGCCUUCGUCUCUCUGAUGGGAAGGUGACCACGGAUGACAUUUCAACGUAAACAGAUGGUCUACCUUCGUCUCUCUGAUGGGAAGGUGACCACGGAUGACAUUUCAACGUAAACAGAUGGUCUACCUUCGUCUCUCUGAUGGGAAGGUGACCACGGAUGACAUUGCAACGUAAAUAGAUGGUCUACCUUCGUCUCUCUGAUGGGAAGGUGACCACGGAUGACAUUGCAACGUAAACAGAUGGUCUACCUUCGUCUCUCUGAUGGGAAGGUGACCACGGAUGACAUUGCAACGUAAACAGAUGGUCUACCUUCGUCUCUCUGAUGGGAAGGUGACCACGGAUGACAUUGCAACGUAAAUAGAUGGUCUACCUUCGUCUCUCUGAUGGGAAGGUGACCACGGAUGACAUUGCAACGUAAAUAGAUGGUCUACCUUCGUCUCUCUGAUGGGAAGUUGAAGAAAUUGUUUCUAAAUGUCUCUCAAACAGGUUGAAAGAGUAUCUGGGAUUGUUGGUCCACAAGGACCAGUCCUACUGUGUACCUGAUCGCUCUAUUGUUGACAACUUGUUUAUGAUAAGAGAUGUUUUAGAAAUUUGUAAACUGUCUGAUGUAAAUGUGGGUUUACUUUCUUUGGAUCCGGAGAAGGCUUUUGAUCGUGUGGACCAUCAGUAUUUGUUUAAAACAAUGAAAGCCUUUGGGUUUGGGGAUGUUUUUCUGUCAUGGGUGAAUUUACUGUAUGCUGGAGCCUCGUGUAUGGUGAAGGUGGGGGGUGGUUUGAGUUGCCCCAUCCCUGUCCAAAGGGGCAUCAGGUAGGGAUGCCCAAUUUCAGGGCAGUUAUAUGGUGAUUGAACCAAUGCUUUGUUUUUUUAAGAGCGAAGCUUACUGGUUUCUCUGUGCCAGGUGUAAUGAAGGGUCCCACGACAGCACUAUCUGCAUAUGCAGAUGACGUGACAGUUUUUAUUACAGGGGGUGAGGAUGUUACGGUUCUCUCAAACGCUCUAAAGGUGUAUGAGGGGGCCUCCUCAGCUAGAGUCAAUUGGGGAAAGAGUGAAGCGCUAUGGGCAGGUCAGCUUCAGUUGGGGUAUGCUCCACGAUUACCAGGGGGGCAGAGAUGGGAUGAAGACUUUGAUUUUUUUCUAGGCUCUGAUGUCUUUCAGAAAAAGAACUGGGAGGGUCUAUUGGAGAAAGUGUGUGCCAGACUGUCAAGGUGGAAAUAGGUGCUGCCCCAGCUGUCUUAUAGGGGACGGGUCCUGGUAGCUAAUAAUCUUGCUGCCUCUCCCCUGUAGCACAGACUAAUGAUUUUACAGCCACCAAAGGGUCUGAUACAAGAGCUUCAGAGGACCCUUGUCAAUUUGUUCUGGUCUGAACAACACUGGAUUAAAGCUGCAGCCCUGUACCUGCCACUGCAUGAGGGUGAGCAAGGCCUGGUGGACAUUUCCUCUAGGAUCAUGGCUUUCCCACUUCAAGCAGCCAGAGACGGUUCUAGCUGGGUCAAAACAGCCUACAUAUUGAUGAGGAGAGCGGGCUGUUUGGGCUUAGAUAAGCACCUUUUCCUCUUAAAGCUGGAGGGGAGUGUGUUAUGCAGGCUUGGAGGGUUCUUGUCAAGUCCCGUAACGCCGGCACGCCACCAGGGAUGUGUUUUUGUAGAGCCUCUUUUUCACAACACUGCCAUCCAGUCCUGUGUUCUGGGUUCAGCCAGCCUACGUUGAUGCCUGUUAGGCGUGGGGUGUACCAAGCUGGGUCAUCUGAUGGGGUGCAGGAUCAGAUCGUUGGAGGAGCUGGGAGAAAGAGCGGGGAUCCGAUCAUCUCGCCUACUGAGGAAGGUCGUCGCUGAGGUCUAUGACUCCUUGCCAGUGCUUCAUCUGCAGUAUGUGACUGACACUUCCAAUUCUGAUCGGUGGAAGGAGGGUCUGGAUUGUGUUUCCUGCACUGAUUGCUAGUGCUGCGGCGAGGGCAUUUGAGGAGGACGUGGGGAUGCUGCUUUCCUUCGAUACCCCGGAGCUGGGGGAGUUCAAGGAGGUGGGAAAGAAGGCCAUGUACAGAAUAUGUGUAAAUGUGCCCCAUGCCUCUUCCCUGGAAGGGGUGAAAUUGACGAGGUGGGCGGGUGUGCUUGGUCCAAGUGCCUCCCCAAAAGGCUGUUGGCGAUCAUUAUAUAAACUGCUUAUUGAUAACCUCCAAUGGAGGAUAAUACAUGGAGCCAUAGCCACCAAUAUACAUCUGGUACACCUGGAUGCUACUGUUGGGGAGGGGUGUCCAUUCUGUGCUGAGUCUGAAACUCUGGCACAUCUGUCCCAGUUUGGUCGGGAUGAUUGACCUGAUCACUAAUUGGUUCUCAACGUUGGGAGAGGUUCUCUUCCCAACUGUAUAUAUUUGGGCCAAAGUACAGGUUCAGUCAAAAGGGUGUAGUUGUGUUGCUUAAUUUUGUGUUAGGGGCAGCAAAAUUUGCCUAUUAUAAACUUGUCAACAAUAUUGAUCUGUUUUUGAGUAUAUGGGGUAUUCAGAGGCUGUUGUGUUUAGUUACUGUGGAGAAGGAAUUGGACUUGUGUUAUUAAUGGAUGUGUAACUGGUUUUGUAUGAGUAUUUAUUGUGUGGUGGGCUCUCUCUCUCUCUCUCUUUUCCACUCAUUCAAGGGCUUUAUUGGCAUGGGGAACUUAUGUUAACAUUGCCAUAGCAAGACGAGCUUCAAUGCCAUACAACACUCCUUCCGUGGCCUCCAACUGCUCUUAAACGCUAGUAAAACCAAAUGCAUGCUUUUCAACCGUUCG
Long non-coding RNA from Oncorhynchus keta (chum salmon), 4001 nucleotides. RefSeq lists it as uncharacterized. The record is from RefSeq and is a predicted model, not a curated record. Lineage: Eukaryota; Metazoa; Chordata; Actinopteri; Salmoniformes; Salmonidae. The transcript has 3 exons.